UACGUCAUCAUCAUCUAGAGCAACCACAGUUGGUUCCUGUACCUCUUGCUUAGGGAUCUCGACAUCUACCACUUCGGUUAUGGCAUCAUCCUCUGCUAAUGACGCCAUCUUCUUUGCAUUGUUUUACAACCGUGGAAGGAUGGGGCAAACGUGGAGAAGACGGGGUUUGGUGUUUGGGAUGAUGGAGGUCAAACACAACAGACUGCGCACAGUUCUUAAAAUGGUGUAACACCGCUCACAGGAAACCUUAAUCCCUAUCAUCAGACGACAUGUGCGAAGGGGUUCCACCAUUCUGAGUGACUGCUGGAGAGCGUAUGUCAGGUCUCUGUAAAGGCUGGCUUACAAUCACCAGACAGUCAACCACACAAACAACUUUGUGGAUCCUCACACAGGAUGUCACACACAACACAUUGAAAGAGCGUGGCAGACAAUAAAGGGGCAGAUUUGGAGGCUAAAGGGAAAUCGGACCAAAAAAUGUUUAAAGAAGCAUCUCCAUUUUAUUGAGUGGAUGUACUGGUUGGGUGAAGAAAAUAAGAAAGGAGUACUCUCUCAACUCUUCAAAGACAUCCGUUUAGAAUAUCAGCUGUAAGAUCUUUCAGUCUUUGCAUGCACCCCCUAGAGGAAAUGUAACCGGGAGUACCCGGUGCCAGGUAUUUUGCUGUGCCAAUUUAAAUAACGGUCAAUACCGGCCCUUUAAAUGCAAGCAUCCCCUGCAAGCUCUAAAGUGCCAAAAACAGCAAUCUCAACUUUUCAUUUAUAUCUUUGGGACAACCAUCCUACAGCAAAUGAAUGUUUCAUUAUUUUGACAGGGUUAUAAGCAUGUUUGGUUGCUAUCUGUUUGGGUCACUCCAUGUAACAAUGUAUAUCACAUGAAACGGGAGACUCUUGAUUCCAUUACUUCCAAACAUAUCACUGUCCUAUCAACAGGCUAAGCACCAACCCUCAGUGUCUUACCAAACUUCACCUACUACAAUCAAAAACAUGUAACAUAGAGAAUAAAUCAAAUGGGUUUCACUUUACAUUGAGUUGCUUGUUCCUGCAUAAAAACAUGAUUUACAAUACUUUUCUUUAUAACAACAUUGUAAUAACUGACAUUUUGAUGUAUCCUGUGAAAUCUGUUAUUGCAUUGAAAGUAUAUUGUAAUUACACGUAUAGGUUGAGAUGGAUUCCCAUUGAUCACAAAUACAAGUGCUUUAUUGGGUGUCUGCCUAAAUUGUAACAUAGUAAUUACAUGAGUAACGCACAAUGUGUUUCACUUUACGUUACGUUGCUUGUUCCUUUGUAGAAACAUUGUAGUUACGAUACUUUUCUUUGUAACAAUGUAAUAAAUAACAUUUGGAUAUAUUCUGUGAAAUAUGUAAUUGCAUUGAAAGUACAUUGUAAACACAUCUUGCAAAAAUAUUCUCCUGAAAUUAGCAGGCACUGAUGCAGAAGAUAAUUGCGUAGUUUAUUUUUGUAUUUUUUAAAUCUUUUCCUUGUCACUGUGCAUUUUUAAAAGGUCAACUACUUUUUGUUUACUAUUGUUCGUCUGCAUUGUUUUCAAGUGUUGGUGGGAAGUGUUGGUGUAUUUGUUCUGACUAGGACCCCAGAUGUAAUUGGACUGAAGGGAAUUUGAAACAGACCCAGGGAGAGGAGUGCUUUAACUUGUUUAGUAAUAGGUGCUGUAACAAGUUAUUCUACAUUGAAGUGUAUUUUCCCAAUGAUUGUAAUAAAAAGGUUGGCCCUA
This is a long non-coding RNA of Oncorhynchus nerka (sockeye salmon), 1726 nucleotides long. RefSeq lists it as uncharacterized. The record is from RefSeq and is a predicted model, not a curated record. The transcript is spliced from 2 exons. Lineage: Eukaryota; Metazoa; Chordata; Actinopteri; Salmoniformes; Salmonidae.